CGCGCAUCCGAGGGGUGUCCCGCCGACCGCAAGGUCCAGGGGCUGAGAUGGCAUCCGCCAGACCCUUUGAACCUGAUCCGGGUCAUGCCGGCGAAGGGACGGAACGACGGCCGGGU
This 116-nucleotide non-coding RNA is filed under the name Ancylobacter novellus. RNAcentral's name for it is "Starkeya novella TPP sequence". It matches the Rfam family "TPP riboswitch aptamer (THI element)". Rfam says of the family: Vitamin B(1) in its active form thiamin pyrophosphate (TPP) is an essential coenzyme that is synthesised by coupling of pyrimidine and thiazole moieties in bacteria. The record is from RNAcentral. RNAcentral also lists the same sequence under 1 other name. Lineage: Bacteria; Pseudomonadati; Pseudomonadota; Alphaproteobacteria; Hyphomicrobiales; Xanthobacteraceae.